Metarhizium acridum CQMa 102 is the source of this 73-nucleotide non-coding RNA. Lineage: Eukaryota; Fungi; Ascomycota; Sordariomycetes; Hypocreales; Clavicipitaceae. The record is from the annotation of a RefSeq genome assembly.
UCCUCCGUGGCGCAAUUGGCUAGCGCGUCUGACUGUUAUUCAUAGGUUGAAAGUUCGAGCCUUUCCGGGGGAG